GAUCAUGGCUCAGGAUGAACGCUAGCUACAGGCUUAACACAUGCAAGUCGAGUGGGCAGCAUCAUCAAAGCUUGCUUUGAUGGAUGGCGACCGGCGCACGGGUGAGUAACACGUAUCCAACCUGCCGACAACACUGGGAUAGCCUUUCGAAAGAAAGAUUAAUACCGGAUGGUAUAGUUUUCCCGCAUGGGAUGAUUAUUAAAGAAUUUCGGUUGUCGAUGGGGAUGCGUUCCUA
Molecule: ribosomal RNA, 235 nt
Filed under: uncultured bacterium
Lineage: Bacteria
Description: partial 16S ribosomal RNA
Rfam family: Bacterial small subunit ribosomal RNA
Source: RNAcentral